UGGGGGAUAUUGCACAAUGGGCGAAAGCCUGAUGCAGCGACGCCGCGUGGGGGAUGAAGGCUUUCGGGUUGUAAACCUCUUUCGCUAUCGAACAAGGCCCGCUUAGGGUGGGUUGAGGGUAGGUGGAGAAGAAGCGCCGGCUAACUACGUGCCAGCAGCCGCGGUAAUACGUAGGGCGCGAGCGUUGUCCGGAAUUAUUGGGCGUAAAGGGCUUGUAGGCGGCUUGUUGCGCCUGCUGUGAAAACGCGGGGCUUAACUUCGCGCGUGCAGUGGGUACGGGCAGGCUUGAGUGUGGUAGGGGUGACUGCAAUUCCAGGUGUAGCGGUGGAAUGCGCAGAUAUCUGGAGGAACACCGAUGGCGAAGGCAGGUCACUGGGCCAUUACUGACGCUGAGGAGCGAAAGCAUGGGUAGCGAACAGG
Molecule: ribosomal RNA, 420 nt
Filed under: Chloroflexota bacterium
Lineage: Bacteria; Bacillati; Chloroflexota
Description: Chloroflexi bacterium partial 16S ribosomal RNA
Rfam family: Bacterial small subunit ribosomal RNA
Source: RNAcentral